GAAGGUUAUACUGUAAUACUUACUGUAUCCUGUGUUGUAAUCUUGAAGGUUAUACUGUAAUACUUACUGUAUCCUGUGUUGUAAUCUUGAAGGUUAUACUGUAAUACUUACUGUAUCCUGUGUUGUAAUCUUAAAGGUUAUACUGUAAUACUUACUGUAUCCUGUGUUGUAAUCUUGAAGGUUAUACUGUAAUACUUACUGUAUCCUGUGUUGUAAUCUUGAAGGUUAUACUGUAAUACUUACUGUAUCCUGUGUUGUAAUCUUAAAGGUUAUACUGUAAUACUUACUGUAUCCUGUGUUGUAAUCUUGAAGGUUAUACUGUAAUACUUACUGUAU
This is a long non-coding RNA of Mytilus californianus (California mussel), 336 nucleotides long. RefSeq lists it as uncharacterized. NCBI's taxonomy places the organism in Eukaryota, Metazoa, Mollusca, Bivalvia, Mytilida, Mytilidae. The transcript is spliced from 3 exons. The record is from RefSeq and is a predicted model, not a curated record.